This 301-nucleotide ribosomal RNA is filed under the name uncultured bacterium. Its description in RNAcentral is "partial 16S ribosomal RNA". It matches the Rfam family "Bacterial small subunit ribosomal RNA", at positions 509 to 807 of the family's 1533-position model. The record is from RNAcentral.
CAGCAGCCGCGGGAAAACGGAGGGGGCUAGCGUUGUUCGGAAUUACCGGGCGUAAAGCGCAUGUAGGCGGCUUGGUAAGUUAGAGGUGAAAGCCCGGAGCUCAACUCCGGAAUUGCCUUUAAGACUGCCGAGCUAGUAGGUGAGAGAGGUAAGUGGAAUUCCGAGUGUAGAGGUGAAAUUCGUAGAUAUUCGGAAGAACACCAGUGGCGAAGGCGACUGACUGGACAAGUAUUGACGCUGAGGUGCGAAAGCGUGGGGAGCAAACAGGAUUAGAUACCCCCGUAGUCCCUGUCUCUUAUAC